Molecule: long non-coding RNA, 942 nt
Organism: Onychostruthus taczanowskii (white-rumped snowfinch)
Lineage: Eukaryota; Metazoa; Chordata; Aves; Passeriformes; Passeridae
Exons: 3
Source: RefSeq, a predicted model, not a curated record
CUCAGGCGCGGCUGGCGGCGGCCAGAGAGGAGGAGGUUGCGCGGGGCAGCGAGCGUGUGGGGCGGGCAGUGGCGCCGGACACGGACCAGGCCGGGCAAGGGCUGCGGGGGCUGCGCCGUGUCUCUUGGCGAAGGACAUUGCUGGGUGGCUCGCUCGGAGUCUUGUUUUAUGGCGUUUGUCCCACGGCUCCCCCGCUUCUCCUUCAGCCCGCGGCGGGGCCGAGCAGGAGCGCAGCGGGGCCAGGGAGCGGUGCAGAAAUGAAGGAGGGAGACGGGGCAGGGGCAUGACGGGCUUGGAGACCCAAGGCCCGGACUCAGAGAUCUCACGCUGCUGCCUGUCCGGGGACGGGGCAGGGUCAGGAAGCCCGGCGGCUCCUGAAGCCUCCCUCCUUCCCUCCCCGGGAGGUGUGGGGCGUGGUGAGGGGCAGUGACUGAGAGAGGAGGAAGACUGAAGAGCCUUGGGAUGUCACCAUGGAGCUCCUGUGACUGCUCCUGCCUUCUCUUUAGCAGCCCAGAGUCUUGUAGGAUGUGAGCAUGGCGCGCCUGUCAGUGCCAGUGACCUGCUGGCUCCCUAGAAGGCCCAGAGAGCCCCGCGAUGUCACCAUGGAAGCCCUGUGAGUGCAGCCUUGAACACCUCGGAAUGUCACCCUAGAGUCUGUGAGUGCCUGUGACAUUACAGCUGCUUAGCAGCCUGGAGACACUUGGGAUGUUGCCACUGAGACCCUGUGACAGACUGUGAGGAACUCAGAGACCUCUGGGAUGUCACCAUAGAAGCUCAGUGAGUGCCUGUGCCAAAUGGGCUCCUUAGCAUGUCGAGACACCUCUGUUGUCCUCAUGGACACCAGUGACUGCCUGUGACCUCGCAGGUUUUUGGAAAAUGAAAGAGCUCUGGGAUGUCAGCGCGGAUGCCCUGUGCCUGGUUGUGAUCUCUCUACUUCUGAGC